RNAcentral lists this long non-coding RNA (205 nucleotides) under Elaeis guineensis (African oil palm). RNAcentral's name for it is "long non-coding RNA (EGUI_LNC030574)". Lineage: Eukaryota; Viridiplantae; Streptophyta; Magnoliopsida; Arecales; Arecaceae. The record is from RNAcentral.
CCCUGAACCUUGUGAGGUCUUGAUCUUGGAUGCACUUUCUACCUUCAAACGAAUAGAAAAGUCACUCUUCCACUCUUUUUUUUGGAUGUUUUUUUAUUUUGAUGAGAGAGUAUCUCAACGAGACUAUGAUAAGGAACUGUCUUGCUAUGCUGGGCAUCUUUGUCUCAUCUCUUUCUUUUCUCUCAUCCAAAUUUUUCUUAGGGUC